RNAcentral lists this ribosomal RNA (253 nucleotides) under uncultured bacterium. RNAcentral's name for it is "partial 16S ribosomal RNA". It matches the Rfam family "Bacterial small subunit ribosomal RNA", at positions 524 to 776 of the family's 1533-position model. The record is from RNAcentral.
UACGUAGGGACCAAGCGUUGUUCGGAUUUACUGGGCGUAAAGGGCGCGUAGGCGGCAAUUCAAGUCAGCUGUGAAAUCUCCGGGCUUAACUCGGAACGGUCAGGUGAUACUGCUUUGCUAGAGUGCGGAAGGGGCAAUCGGAAUUCUCGGUGUAGCGGUGAAAUGCGUAGAUAUCGAGAGGAACACCUGAGGUGAAGACGGGUUGCUGGGCCGACACUGACGCUGAGGCGCGAAAGCCAGGGUAGCAAACGGG